Molecule: transfer RNA, 83 nt
Filed under: Haemonchus placei
Lineage: Eukaryota; Metazoa; Nematoda; Chromadorea; Rhabditida; Trichostrongylidae
Rfam family: tRNA
About the family: Transfer RNA (tRNA) molecules are approximately 80 nucleotides in length. Their secondary structure includes four short double-helical elements and three loops (D, anti-codon, and T loops).
Source: Rfam by way of RNAcentral
AGUGCGAUGGCCGAGUGGUUAAGGCGUUGGACUUAAGUUCCAAUGAACGUAAGUCCUUGUGGGUUCGAACCUCUCUCGCGCCA